This 457-nucleotide ribosomal RNA is filed under the name uncultured bacterium. RNAcentral's name for it is "bacterial SSU rRNA". It matches the Rfam family "Bacterial small subunit ribosomal RNA", at positions 30 to 489 of the family's 1533-position model. The record is from RNAcentral.
CUUGAACGCUGGCGGCAUGCUUUACACAUGCAAGUCGAACGGGGGUGGGGCAACCCACUUCAGUGGCGAACGGGUGAGUAAUGUAUCGGAACGUAUCCUUAAGUGGGGGAUAACUCCGAGAAAUCGGAGCUAAUACCGCAUGAGAUCCGAGGAUGAAAGCGGGGGACCGAAAGCCUCGCGCUUGAGGAGCGGCCGAUAUCUGAUUAGCUAGUUGGUGGGGUAACGCCUACCAAGGCUGCGAUCAGUAGCUGGUCUGAGAGGAUGAUCAGCCACACUGGGACUGAGACACGGUCCAGACUCCUACGGGAGGCAGCAGUGGGGAAUUUUGCGCAAUGGGCUAACGCCUGACGCAGCAACGCCGCGUGGAGGAUGAAGGUCCUGGAUUGUAAACUCCUGUCAGCAGGGAAAAAGCAAGCCGACCUAAUACGUCGGUGAGUUGAUUGUACCUGCAGAGGAA